This 715-nucleotide ribosomal RNA is filed under the name uncultured bacterium. RNAcentral's name for it is "bacterial SSU rRNA". It matches the Rfam family "Bacterial small subunit ribosomal RNA", at positions 66 to 812 of the family's 1533-position model. The record is from RNAcentral.
ACGAGAAGCAGGAGCAAUCCUGUGAGUAAAGUGGCGUACGGGUGAGUAACACGUGGAUUAUCUACCUUCUAGUGGGGGAUAACCCUGGGAAACCGGGGCUAAUACCGCAUAAGUUCGAGAGAAGAAAGCAGCAAUGCGCUGGAAGAGGAGUCCGCGGCCGAUUAGCUAGUUGGUAGGGUAAAAGCCUACCAAGGCUACGAUCGGUAGCCGGCCUGAGAGGGCACACGGCCACACUGGCACUGAAACACGGGCCAGACUCCUACGGGAGGCAGCAGUGGGGAAUCUUGCACAAUGGGGGCAACCCUGAUGCAGCGACGCCGCGUGAGCGAUGAAGCCCUUCGGGGUGUAAAGCUCUUUCGGCAGGGACGAUUAUGACGGUACCUGCAGAAGCAGCUGCGGCUAACUACGUGCCAGCAGCCGCGGUAAUACGUAGGCAGCAAGCGUUGUUCGGAGUUACUGGGCGUAAAGGGUGUGUAGGCGGUCCUCUAAGUUUGGUGUGAAAUCUCCCGGCUCAACUGGGAGGGUGCGCUGAAAACUGGGGGGCUAGAGUGCGGGAUGGGAGAGUGGAAUUCCUGGUGUAGCGGUGAGAUGCGUAGAUAUCAGGAGGAACACCUGUGGUGUAGACGGCUCUCUGGACCGCAACUGACGCUGAGACACGAAAGCGUGGGUAGCAAACAGGAUUAGAUACCCUGGUAGUCCACGCCCUAAACGAUGC